This 1554-nucleotide ribosomal RNA is filed under the name Salmonella enterica subsp. enterica serovar Stanleyville. RNAcentral describes it as "bacterial SSU rRNA". It matches the Rfam family "Bacterial small subunit ribosomal RNA". Lineage: Bacteria; Pseudomonadati; Pseudomonadota; Gammaproteobacteria; Enterobacterales; Enterobacteriaceae. The record is from RNAcentral.
AAAUUGAAGAGUUUGAUCAUGGCUCAGAUUGAACGCUGGCGGCAGGCCUAACACAUGCAAGUCGAACGGUAACAGGAAGCAGCUUGCUGCUUUGCUGACGAGUGGCGGACGGGUGAGUAAUGUCUGGGAAACUGCCUGAUGGAGGGGGAUAACUACUGGAAACGGUGGCUAAUACCGCAUAACGUCGCAAGACCAAAGAGGGGGACCUUCGGGCCUCUUGCCAUCAGAUGUGCCCAGAUGGGAUUAGCUAGUUGGUGAGGUAACGGCUCACCAAGGCGACGAUCCCUAGCUGGUCUGAGAGGAUGACCAGCCACACUGGAACUGAGACACGGUCCAGACUCCUACGGGAGGCAGCAGUGGGGAAUAUUGCACAAUGGGCGCAAGCCUGAUGCAGCCAUGCCGCGUGUAUGAAGAAGGCCUUCGGGUUGUAAAGUACUUUCAGCGGGGAGGAAGGUGUUGUGGUUAAUAACCGCAGCAAUUGACGUUACCCGCAGAAGAAGCACCGGCUAACUCCGUGCCAGCAGCCGCGGUAAUACGGAGGGUGCAAGCGUUAAUCGGAAUUACUGGGCGUAAAGCGCACGCAGGCGGUCUGUCAAGUCGGAUGUGAAAUCCCCGGGCUCAACCUGGGAACUGCAUUCGAAACUGGCAGGCUUGAGUCUUGUAGAGGGGGGUAGAAUUCCAGGUGUAGCGGUGAAAUGCGUAGAGAUCUGGAGGAAUACCGGUGGCGAAGGCGGCCCCCUGGACAAAGACUGACGCUCAGGUGCGAAAGCGUGGGGAGCAAACAGGAUUAGAUACCCUGGUAGUCCACGCCGUAAACGAUGUCUACUUGGAGGUUGUGCCCUUGAGGCGUGGCUUCCGGAGCUAACGCGUUAAGUAGACCGCCUGGGGAGUACGGCCGCAAGGUUAAAACUCAAAUGAAUUGACGGGGGCCCGCACAAGCGGUGGAGCAUGUGGUUUAAUUCGAUGCAACGCGAAGAACCUUACCUGGUCUUGACAUCCACAGAACUUUCCAGAGAUGGACUGGUGCCUUCGGGAACUGUGAGACAGGUGCUGCAUGGCUGUCGUCAGCUCGUGUUGUGAAAUGUUGGGUUAAGUCCCGCAACGAGCGCAACCCUUAUCCUUUGUUGCCAGCGGUCCGGCCGGGAACUCAAAGGAGACUGCCAGUGAUAAACUGGAGGAAGGUGGGGAUGACGUCAAGUCAUCAUGGCCCUUACGACCAGGGCUACACACGUGCUACAAUGGCGCAUACAAAGAGAAGCGACCUCGCGAGAGCAAGCGGACCUCAUAAAGUGCGUCGUAGUCCGGAUUGGAGUCUGCAACUCGACUCCAUGAAGUCGGAAUCGCUAGUAAUCGUGGAUCAGAAUGCCACGGUGAAUACGUUCCCGGGCCUUGUACACACCGCCCGUCACACCAUGGGAGUGGGUUGCAAAAGAAGUAGGUAGCUUAACCUUCGGGAGGGCGCUUACCACUUUGUGAUUCAUGACUGGGGUGAAGUCGUAACAAGGUAACCGUAGGGGAACCUGCGGUUGGAUCACCUCCUUACCUGAAAGAAGC